UACGGGGGGGGCAAGCGUUGUUCGGAAUUACUGGGCGUAAAGGGCUCGUAGGCGGCCAACUAAGUCGGAUGUGAAAUCCCCAAGCUUAACUUGGGAACUGCAUCCGAUACUGGAUGGCUUGAAUCCGGGAGAGGGAUGCAGAAUUCCAGGUGUAGCGGUGAAAUGCGUAGAUAUCGGAAGGAACAUCAGUGGCGAAGGCGGCUUUCUGGACAGAUACCGACGCUGAGGCACGAAAGCUAGGGGAGCAAACAGG
RNAcentral lists this ribosomal RNA (253 nucleotides) under uncultured bacterium. RNAcentral describes it as "partial 16S ribosomal RNA". It matches the Rfam family "Bacterial small subunit ribosomal RNA", at positions 524 to 776 of the family's 1533-position model. The record is from RNAcentral.